This 253-nucleotide ribosomal RNA is filed under the name uncultured bacterium. RNAcentral's name for it is "partial 16S ribosomal RNA". It matches the Rfam family "Bacterial small subunit ribosomal RNA", at positions 524 to 776 of the family's 1533-position model. The record is from RNAcentral.
UACGUAGGGGGCUAGCGUUGUCCGGAAUCAUUGGGCGUAAAGAGCGUGUAGGCGGUCCGGUAAGUCCGCUGUGAAAGUCGGGGGCUCAACCCUCGAAUGCCGGUGGAUACUGUCGGGCUAGAGUGCGGAAGAGGCGAGUGGAAUUCCUGGUGUAGCGGUGAAAUGCGCAGAUAUCAGGAAGAACACCCGUGGCUAAGGCGGCUCUCUAGUACGGUACUGACGCUGAGACGCGAAAGCGUGGGGAGCGAACAGG